CACACACACACACACACACACACACACACAACACAACACACACACACGCACAUACAAACACAAUCUUAUAUUAAAGAAACAUGGAAGUAUAACCUUGUCUACCAAUAUUUGAAACUUUCAGGGGAAAUUCCACUCUUACGUUAGUUUCAGGAUAACGUUGGUCUCCUUGGCACACUGCCUGACUUAUGGGCAAUAAAAAGUUCUCAUCACUUUACAAUGACCAGUACAGUCAUGAAGGGAUGGAAGCUUAAUUCAGUAACAACUGAAGAGAACAGCUGUCCACCUGCACCCUCCCUCACUCCUGUGCAGGUGGUGUGAGGACACUCACAGUAACAGCUGAAGAGAACAGCUGUAUACCCGGGUGCUCACUCCUGUGCAGGUGGUGUCAAGACUCUCUAACGGCUGAAGAGAAGAGGUGCCCACACACACUGUCACUCCUGUGCAUGGUGACAGGAUUCUCAUUACUCCUGUGGCCCUGCCAAAUAUCUUCUUCACAAAAAUCCUCCUUUUCAAAUUUUUGACCCUUUUUCUUGUGAGAUUUUGUUUAUUUUGGGGUGGGGAGUCACAGUGCGACAGUUCCGACACCUCAGUUCAGAACAGCUAUCUUCUGUUGUGUCUAGUGCCUUGGCUGGAAUGUCAUAGAGUAUUUUUAUACUUAUUAAAAUUUUCAUUCAUUGAAUGACUUAUUAAGUACAUUUCAACAGAUACUGAAUACAUUAAAAUGUUUCAAGUAUUUAAUAAAUUAAAAUUAAGCCACUAAAAUAAUGUGAGAGAAAGUUACAAAGAACACUUGAAUUCUCAAUGUUUCCUCAGGAAGAUUUGUUGAAGCAUUGAUAAACUGUUCUUUUGCCAACUGCCUAAUUUCCCUGUUCUGAAAGCUUCCAUAGGUGAACAUGCAACCAUUAAAUGUGAAAAGGGAGACUCGGUUAACGACUUCUUUAUAAAAAAUUUAAAAUCAUUUUGACGAUUUUACUUUCCAUCAUCCUGCAUUACUCUAUGAAAGGGUUAGAAGCUUACAAAAAAAAAAAAAGACAUGAAAACAAGUAGAGAAGGGAGAAUGAUCUUUCAUUGACUGUGUGGCUACUGAGUUGCUCAUACCCACACUCCAGUGGAUUUAUUUGGGGAAGCACUAACUGGACCUAAUUAUUAAAAGAAAUUAAACAAAAAUGAAGGAAGAAAAAAAAAGAAAGUGAGAAGGCAUUAAGUAAGCAGAUGAUAUUUUAGAGUAUUACAGGGAAGUCACAGUGAAGUAAGAGUGGAUAUGAUAAUAUUUCAUUGUAUAAAUGUAUAAAAAUAUCAAAUAAUUAAAUUUUAAUUAAAGCUAUGUUGGUUUUGUAGCCUGCCCUUUGUGAAUGAUUAAAGAAACAUUUAAUUAUAUGCCUAUUUUUCCAAAAUAUCAUUAUAUCUGAUUCUAAUGAUUUUAAGUACAAGCCAAGUAAUUAAUUCAAAUACUUGAAGUAUUUGAAAGGAAUAAUAAAUUCUUAGAAUUUUACACACACACACACACACACACACACACACACACACACACACCAUCAUAUGUAUCUGCACUUGUUACAUGGCAAACACUAUGUCAACAGUACUGAGAAGUGUUCAUAUGGUUUUAGCUCAACACCUCAUUCCCUUAAUCAUUUUAUCUGGAUUCUCAGGGUCUAUUCUGCACGAGGAAAUGGAGAUGAGAAUAUUGUCCUAGAAUGCUAAUAUUCCAAGGACCUUCAUUUCACUCAUAAAAUUGCUUUACUUUAAAACAAACCAAAUACUCUACUAAGGCAUGACUGUCAAAGUUCCAAACAAAUUACAAAUGUGCUUAGAAUAUAAUUCUUUUAAAUGAUUGACUUGUGCUAUAAAGACCAUUCAGUGGUUGGGAGAGUUAGCCCCGUACACAUGUACCCAUGAAAUAAGUUGACCAUCCCAUGCCUGCCUGUAACUCCAAUACCAAGAUGGACAGAAACAGGAAGAUCUCAGGACUUGCUGGCUUACAGCCUUGAGAAAAAAAAAAA
This is a long non-coding RNA of Peromyscus leucopus (white-footed mouse), 2000 nucleotides long. RefSeq lists it as uncharacterized. The record is from RefSeq and is a predicted model, not a curated record. Lineage: Eukaryota; Metazoa; Chordata; Mammalia; Rodentia; Cricetidae. The transcript has 2 exons.